CGAAAAUAUUGAGCUUUGGAGCACGUUGAGUUUCUUCAUCUUCUCCGUUGAGAGCCAUCUUUUGAGGUACAGGUAGCAUGCCACCUCUAAGGACAUAGCUUGGGAGGCUAGAGGCAGACAUACUUUGGCUGUCUUAUUUUCCUUGAUUGUAUUACAUAUAGUUUCAAGCCAAGGGCUUAAGGUGUAAUUGAGUUAGCACUCUCUUUUGUAACCAAGUGUUAACUUGGAAAGCUGUAAGCCCGUAGGGCAUUUGCUUUUGUGUUGUAAAUAUGUAACACUGUUGUAAAGAAAUACCCUGAUGAAUAGAUGAAUGUGGACCUUUAUGUAUCAA
Camellia sinensis is the source of this 331-nucleotide non-coding RNA. The record is from RefSeq and is a predicted model, not a curated record. Lineage: Eukaryota; Viridiplantae; Streptophyta; Magnoliopsida; Ericales; Theaceae.